AUUAAACGCUGGCGGCAUGCUUUACACAUGCAAGUCGAACGGUAACAGGCCGCAAGGUGCUGACGAGUGGCGAACGGGUGAGUAAUGCAUCGGAACGUGCCCAGUCGUGGGGGAUAACUACUCGAAAGAGUAGCUAAUACCGCAUACGAUCUAUGGAUGAAAGCGGGGGACCGUAAGGCCUCGCGCGAUUGGAGCGGCCGGUGUCAGAUUAGGUAGUUGGUGGGGUAAAGGCUCACCAAGCCAACGAUCUGUAGCUGGUCUGAGAGGACGACCAGCCACACUGGGACUGAGACACGGCCCAGACUCCUACGGGAGGCAGCAGUGGGGAAUUUUGGACAAUGGGCGCAAGCCUGAUCCAGCAAUGCCACGUGCAGGAAGAAGGCCUUCGGGUUGUAAACUGCUUUUGUACGGAACGAAACGGCUCUGGUUAAUACCCGGGGCUAAUGACGGUACCGGAAGAAUAAGCACCGGCUAACUACGUG
Molecule: ribosomal RNA, 482 nt
Filed under: uncultured bacterium
Lineage: Bacteria
Description: partial 16S ribosomal RNA
Rfam family: Bacterial small subunit ribosomal RNA
Source: RNAcentral